GGGUUUAGUUUAGAAUUGGCGAGGGCAGCCUUCUGGCAUAAUACUGACACUGAGGCUCGAAAGCGUGGGUAGCAAAUAGGUAUUAGAUACCCUGGUAGUCCACGCCGUAAACGAUGUCUACUAGUCGUUGGGUCCCUUGAGGACUUAGUGACGCAGCUAACGCAAUAAGUAGACCGCCUGGGGAGUACGGCCGCAAGGUUAAAACUCAAAUGAAUUGACGGGGGCCCGCACAAGCGGUGGAGCAUGUGGUUUAAUUCGAUGCAACGCGAAGAACCUUACCUGGUCUUGACAUAUCUAGAAUCCUGCAGAGAUGCGGGAGUGCCUUCGGGAAUUAGAAUACAGGUGCUGCAUGGCUGUCGUCAGCUCGUGUCGUGAGAUGUUGGGUUAAGUCCCGCAACGAGCGCAACCCUUGUCCUUAGUUACCAGCGGGUUAAGCCGGGAACUCUAAGGAUACUGCCAGUGACAAACUGGAGGAAGGCGGGGACGACGUCAAGUCAUCAUGGCCCUUACGACCAGGGCUACACACGUGCUACAAUGGUAGGUACAGAGGGCAGCUACACAGCGAUGUGAUGCGAAUCUCAAAAAGCCUAUCGUAGUCCGGAUCGCAGUCUGCAACUCGACUGCGUGAAGUCGGAAUCGCUAGUAAUCGUGAAUCAGAAUGUCACGGUGAAUACGUUCCCGGGCCUUGUACACACCGCCCGUCACACCAUGGGAGUGGGUUGCACCAGAAGUAGCUAGUCUAACCUUCGGGAGGACGGUUACCACGGUGUGAUUCAUGACUGGGGUGAAGUCGUAACAGGGUAACCA
Molecule: ribosomal RNA, 807 nt
Filed under: uncultured bacterium
Lineage: Bacteria
Description: bacterial SSU rRNA
Rfam family: Bacterial small subunit ribosomal RNA
Source: RNAcentral